UGUUCUUCUAGUUCAGUACAUACAAUGGUGUGUCUUUCGAUUGGAUGGUGCAAGAGUGAGUCGCUUUGAUGAUGAUGGAUGCAUUACAUGCAAUACCCCCCCUUAAAGAAGAAAGCAUUGAUGGAUUAAGAAAUUGGAUAGUCGCUGUUGGUCGAUGCUUCAAUCCCCCAUACUCUCGUGAUUGUUUGACGUGUUUUGUAACACCGAACCUAUUUCUAGCCGGGUGAGAGGUUUCUUAUUCAAAUCAUGGCAAUUUUAGCUUUCGGCGAAAGAAGGAAGGGUUUACUAAUUGGAAUAGAAAGAGAAUCGUUUCGUCUCCCUUCCCCUGUCAUUAUAUACGCCCCUCGAAUUUACGUAGGAAACAAAUGAAUGUCGCUAGAUAUCAUGGAUCAGUCGUAACGUCGAACGCCGUCAAGUGUGGUUCUAUAAUUGCCAACGUUGGGCUUUUUUUUUGUUGCUGAGGUGGAUUCUAUUUUUUUACCUGUCAAGCGAGAUUGCGACGAGGGAAUCGAUUGAAGCCACAACUGAAACUCCUUGCACGUAAGCCACCUAAAAGACAAGUCACUCGUUAACUACUUGCAUGUAUUUUGUAUAUUUACAAGCACGGCCUCCCUAUGAUCGGGAGGCCGUGCUUUUUUCCCCGUCGUUAUUCAUUGUUUCUUUUUGUAUUUUGUUACAAAUUUCAUUUAAUCGCAUCCAUUCUCAGAACUUUUUUACAACUAAUGGUGAAAUAUCUUACCAACUUGCACAUGGUCUCUCCCAGGAUCCAAGCUGUGACAUGGUAAGGAAAGAAAAGUUAAGGAUUUAUUUAGUUCUGCUUUUUUUUCUCUAAAAGUAACAGAACUUUGUGUUUGCAGUACUUGUAGACACUACUCAACAUAGAGAAAAUUCGCGAAAAGAAGAGUUGACUAUGAUGGAUGGUAGACGGACAGGGACUCGUUUAUUUUAAAUCCGUCGUCUGCUGUCUGUGUUUUGUUUAACAGCUGAGCUGAUUCAUUUGCAAUGUUUGACAGGGAUAAACAUCGAUGACUAAAUCUGUCGGUGCCCAAUCAGAAGAGGGAAAAGUAGCAAAGAAAGUCUGGGGAAAGUUGUUGAUAGUGGAGUGGCGUGACGAUGUGUGAGUGGCGUUUGAGUUAUUAUGGCAAACUACAGCUCGAUAGUGGGAUAUCCUAUCGUUAAUGUAUUGCCCAGCUAUCAAAACAUUCCCUCGCUUUGAAAGAAAGUUUAAACAUUUUUGAUUUAUCUGACAGGAGCUCUCCCAAUGAUUCGAUUAACUUUACAACUUUAAUUGAUUGAUUUAGACGUUUACGUAGGGGUAAUGUCUUUUUACAUAACCUGGGAAAUUGACUGAAAAAAGGGCCGAUAAUCUCGUUAUGAUAAUGAACGUUCGAUAGCUUAUGUAUUGUUUACAUCCAAUUUGUUUACGAUCUUUCAGUUUAGCACAAAGGAUUGCGUAGCUGCUUCACCAAGAAACAUUAUCCCUGCAUCGCGGUAUACAACUAACUAGCCCGGCGGGUAAUAAAGCUUCUCGAUUGACGUCAACAUCCAGCAUCGAAUCCAGCUAAAUCUCAGCUAUUGUGUUUAACAAAGUUUCGCUAUCCAACUAACCUGACAAGUUACCAUUAUCCUACAUCCAUUUCCUUGUUUAUUUUUUUUUUUACAUUGUAAAGUCCACACCGUAACAGCCCUCGAGAAGUCUAAAUUGCCAUACGCUCAAUAUAACAAGGGCCACUGGAGAUCGUCGUCAUGGUAGUGUAUUAAAUUGGAUUCCACGAAGAUCUGAUGGCUACGCAGGGUCUGCAUUUCUUCUUUAACGGGAGGUUAGGAAACGAUUUUUCCCGAGUAACAAGAUUGGAUGGAAGGAAAUGUCUUAUAAACUGUAGAUGACAUCUACGUCUUUUCAGACAGGAGGGGAGAAUUCUUUGAAAAGGGGAAGCGGACGAGUACUGUGCAUCCAAUGGAUGUAUUAUGUUCGAGGAGAAAGAAGUCGUACAUGUUAUUCAAUAAGGGAAUGAAAAAGACGGGAAGUACUGCAUAUUUUUAUUUUAUCUCCUUUCCCGUUUUCAUUUCCGCUGUCUUGCAUUCUUACCCCACCAUCACUGUUGUCGUAAUGCUUGGUAAAUGUAUUGCAAAGUCUCUUUCCAGGCCUGUUUUUAGAUGCUCACAUUCCCCGGCUUAGAUGUUUGUGUAAUUUAUAUCCGAUAGUCAGACGUGUCAAAUUUAUCCGGCAGCAUUUUACCCUACAUUACUAGAUAUCCCGACAGGCUGAACGUGAAAAGAAACUGCCAUUUGUAGUAAAGAUAUUUUUGGAUUUGUGCAAUUCGGCAGGUUUGAAGUGAUGCAUUCAGUGAAGUAAGGUAAUCCUUUCUAACGGAUUUUUUUCGCUGAUGUAGAUGUCUUUAAUUCGUCCUGCGUUAUGCAAGAAAAACUUGAAAUAUUUACUUUGUUUCUUUUAUUUAAUAUCGUUGUCGCUGCUUUGAUCUAUUUGAAAAUUCCAGCCAAAGGUUUUAAUCUCGUGUUUAAAAAUAGUAAAAUUGUGAAGCAA
Daphnia magna is the source of this 2545-nucleotide long non-coding RNA. RefSeq lists it as uncharacterized. NCBI's taxonomy places the organism in Eukaryota, Metazoa, Arthropoda, Branchiopoda, Diplostraca, Daphniidae. The transcript is spliced from 5 exons. The record is from RefSeq and is a predicted model, not a curated record.